AUUCCCGCUCCAGAAGCGUAUGCUAAUGUUGUUGCAGUUAAAAAGCUCGUAGUUGAAAGUCUGGCAGUGUUGACCGGUCCUUUGCGUGUAUUCGCAUAGCUGUCUGCGUCGGCACAGUCAUCCUGCUGGUUUCGGCCAGCUCGUUUACUGUAAUUAAAAUAGCGUGUUCAAAGCAAGUCGUAGACUUGAAUAUCCUGUGCGGAAUAAUAAAAUAGGACUUUUGUACUAUUUUGUUGGUUUGUAUACAAAAGUAAUGGUUAAUAGGGACAGUUGGGGAUAUUCGUAUUAGCAAGCUAGAGGUGAAAUUCUCGGAUUUUAUUAAGACGAACUACUGCGAAAGCAUUCAUCAAGGAUGUUUUCAUUAA
RNAcentral lists this ribosomal RNA (365 nucleotides) under Eukaryota sp. RNAcentral's name for it is "partial small subunit ribosomal RNA". It matches the Rfam family "Eukaryotic small subunit ribosomal RNA", at positions 582 to 976 of the family's 1831-position model. The record is from RNAcentral.